RNAcentral lists this transfer RNA (89 nucleotides) under Clostridiales bacterium. RNAcentral describes it as "tRNA-Leu". It matches the Rfam family "tRNA". From Rfam's summary of the family: Transfer RNA (tRNA) molecules are approximately 80 nucleotides in length. Their secondary structure includes four short double-helical elements and three loops (D, anti-codon, and T loops). The record is from RNAcentral. Lineage: Bacteria; Bacillati; Bacillota; Clostridia; Eubacteriales.
GCGGACGUGGCGGAAUUGGCAGACGCGCAGGAUUCAGGAUCCUGUGCCCCUCCACAGGCGUAAGGGUUCAACUCCCUUCGUCCGCACCA